GACAGAGGGGGCAAGCGUUGCUCGGAAUCAUUGGGCGUAAAGGGUGCGUAGGCGGCGCGGUAAGUCGGGUGUGAAAUCUCGGAGCUUAACUCCGAAACUGCAUUCGAUACUGCCGUGCUUGAGGACUGGAGAGGAGACUGGAAUUUACGGUGUAGCGGUGAAAUGCGUAGAUAUCGUAAGGAAGACCAGUGGCGAAGGCGGGUCUCUGGACAGUUCCUGACACUGAGACACGAAGGCCAGGGGAGCAAACGGG
RNAcentral lists this ribosomal RNA (253 nucleotides) under uncultured bacterium. Its description in RNAcentral is "partial 16S ribosomal RNA". It matches the Rfam family "Bacterial small subunit ribosomal RNA", at positions 524 to 776 of the family's 1533-position model. The record is from RNAcentral.